RNAcentral lists this ribosomal RNA (511 nucleotides) under uncultured delta proteobacterium. RNAcentral's name for it is "bacterial SSU rRNA". It matches the Rfam family "Bacterial small subunit ribosomal RNA", at positions 14 to 507 of the family's 1533-position model. Lineage: Bacteria; Deltaproteobacteria. The record is from RNAcentral.
UUUAGCUCGCGCAGAGCGACGCUGGCGGCUGCCUAACACAUGCAAGUCGAACGUGAACGGGAGCAAUCCCUAGUAAAGUGGCGUACGGGUGAGUAACACUAGGUAAUCUACCCUAGAGUUUGGAAUAACCGGGCCGAAAGGCUGGCUAAUACUGGAUAGAGCGACGGAAUCCGUAAUGGGUUUUCGGGAAAGGGAGCUCGCAAGAGCCUUCGCUUUAGGAUGAGCCUGCGUCCCAUCAGCUAGUUGGUAAGGUAAUGGCUUACCAAGGCUAUGACGGGUAGGCUGGUCUGAGAGGAUGAUCAGCCACACUGGAACUGAAACACGGUCCAGACUCCUACGGGAGGCAGCAGUGGGGAAUCUUGCGCAAUGGACGAAAGUCUGACGCAGCCACGCCGCGUGAGUGAAGAAGGCCUUCGGGUUGUAAAGCUCUGUCGGGAGGGACGAAAACUCUUGGAGUGAAUAGCUUCAGGAAUUGACGGUACCUUCAAAGGAAGCACCGGCUAACUCUGUG